UACAGAGGGGGCAAGCGUUGUUCGGAAUUACUGGGCGUAAAGGGCGCGUAGGCGGCCCGCUAAGUCGAACGUGAAAUCCCAGAGCUCAACUCGGGAACUGCGUGUGAGACUGGCAGGCUCGAGGGCAGGAGAGGAACGCGGAAUUCCAGGUGUAGCGGUGAAAUGCGUAGAUAUCUGGAGGAACACCGGUGGCGAAGGCGGCGUUCUGGACUGUCUCUGACACUGAAGAACGAAAGCCAGGGGAGCAAACGGG
Molecule: ribosomal RNA, 253 nt
Filed under: uncultured bacterium
Lineage: Bacteria
Description: partial 16S ribosomal RNA
Rfam family: Bacterial small subunit ribosomal RNA
Source: RNAcentral